AAGAGAUGGCGACCGGCGCACGGGUGAGUAACACGUAUCCAACCUGCCGAUAACUCCGGAAUAGCCUUUCGAAAGAAAGAUUAAUACCGGAUGGCAUACGAAUAUCGCAUGAUAUUUUUAUUAAAGAAUUUCGGUUAUCGAUGGGGAUGCGUUCCAUUAGCUUGUUGGCGGGGUAACGGCCCACCAAGACUACGAUGGAUAGGGGUUCUGAGAGGAAGGUCCCCCACAUUGGAACUGAGACACGGUCCAA
RNAcentral lists this ribosomal RNA (250 nucleotides) under uncultured bacterium. RNAcentral's name for it is "partial 16S ribosomal RNA". It matches the Rfam family "Bacterial small subunit ribosomal RNA", at positions 83 to 334 of the family's 1533-position model. The record is from RNAcentral.